This 259-nucleotide long non-coding RNA is filed under the name Nicotiana benthamiana. RNAcentral's name for it is "long non-coding RNA (NBEN_LNC001588)". The record is from RNAcentral. Lineage: Eukaryota; Viridiplantae; Streptophyta; Magnoliopsida; Solanales; Solanaceae.
UGAGUUGAAACGUUUUUUAAUUAUACCAUACAAUCGAUUAUCUAUUCUAGACAAUCGAUUGUAAUGGUCCAGAAACUUAAAAAAAUUUUAUCAAAACCAAAAUAAUCGAUUGUCUGCUUUUGACAAUCGAUUAUAUUGGUCCAGUUUCUUAAAACCAGCAUAAUCGAUUAUAUGGUUUUGACAAUCGAUUAUGUUGGUCCGGAAACUUAAAAAAAAUUUCUCAAAACCAAAAUAAUCGAUUGUCUGGUUUUGACAAUCG